Molecule: RNA transcript, 1431 nt
Organism: Cotesia glomerata
Lineage: Eukaryota; Metazoa; Arthropoda; Insecta; Hymenoptera; Braconidae
Source: RefSeq, a predicted model, not a curated record
GCAUCAGAUGAUUGUGUAAAAGCCUGCGCCUACGUGCAUUUUUACACGUGCAGAGUAUAGUAAACAUAUGAGAGAGAUAAAACUAGUCGAAUGACAUUUGCCAAUUGGUAUAUGUAAGAAUAACAAUAGUUUAUAAUAACUAUAAUAAUAAUGUCUACAUAAUAUAAUUUAAAUAAACAAUUACACUUGAAAGGGGUGUUUUGAAAACAUUAAUUUUAAAUCAGCAUGCUAAGUCGUAUCUCGAGAUGUAUUGUGGUAAAAUCAUUCAAAAAAAUUACUCUAAAUCAAUAAAUUUUAUAUUUGCGGCUAAAUAUUCGCGUAGAAGUGCGAAAAAUACGACAACAUACAAAUUAAUGAAGUCGAAUGGUAUUGACGCAGAUAUUAACAAUGGAGAACUGGACAACAAUCCAAAUUGGGAAUUAUUUGGACCAAGAGGAUUUAGAUUUUAUUUGCCAGGAAGUAUAGGACCUGGCUGGUUAGAUCAAUCGACUACUGCUCAAGUUGAAACUCGGUCCAUUUUGAUACCGAGAAACAAAGUAGAGUUUGAUGAUGGAAAUGAUUUUAAUAGUCUUGAAAUUAACGACAUGAUAAGUGUUGGUAAAACUAAAAAUAAUAAACUUAAACGAGUGAGACAGAAAAGUCAUAAAAAUCAGCCUAUUUUACACUGCAUUGCACAAGAAUGCCCCAUGUUACUGAGAAAAGGUAUUCAAGAACUUUUUCCAAGUUGCAUCGAAGCUGCCUCACCACAUCUUACUAUUGUUACUAUCACACAGAAGUUGAGUCCUAGGAUGAUGCGAUGGAGCAAAGAAAUUGAGACUGAAAAAUUAGCUAAAUUCUUUCUCCUUGCUGCUUCUGAUAUUUGUACUAAACUGAAAAUGUUUGGAUACUGGGCUGAUUUUAUAAAUCCAUUCAGUGGUCAGCCUUACUUAAAUCCUCAUAAAACCGGUGUAUUGUACAAAACAGAUGAACGUUUUCGUUGCUUGGGCUUUAAGGUUCAUCGGAACAAUAACUGCAAAAUAAUUAUGCAUGAAAACAAAGGCUCAGAAUUUAUCGAUAUGCCCUGGGCUUUGGAUUUCUCCGUUUCUGAGCUAUUGGAUAAGUCGUAUUCAAUAUUGUAUUCUUCAAGAAUUUUCCUUCUGAGCUUCGUGAAAUUUGUUUUCAUUUCCCGAGAUGAUAAUAGUUUGUAAAGGUCUGAAAGCAUGAUCACUGGUUGUAGAGGGUCUAUUUGUAAUUCUUAAAAUAUAUUCCUGACUUUUCUUUGGCCAUUAGUUCUGUCGGAAGCCUUUACACAUCUGCACCAGCAAGUAUGGAUUUUUUUAAAGAUAUUAUGAGUGGUAUGUCCGAUCAUUAAAACUUCAACCUUGAGUGAAACGCUAGGUAUCGGCGAUUGUUAUAUGAAUAAAUAAAGGAAAUCUAUAGAAGAACAAUAAA